Molecule: ribosomal RNA, 257 nt
Filed under: uncultured prokaryote
Description: partial 16S ribosomal RNA
Rfam family: Bacterial small subunit ribosomal RNA
Source: RNAcentral
UACGUAGGUGGCAAGCGUUGUCCGGAUUUAUUGGGCGUAAAGCGAGCGCAGGCGGUUCCUUAAGUCUGAUGUGAAAGCCCACGGCUCAACCGUGGAAGGUCAUUGGAAACUGGGGAACUUGAGUGCAGAAGAGGAGAGUGGAAUUCCAUGUGUAGCGGUGAAAUGCAUAGAUAUAUGGAGGAACACCAGUGGCGAAGGCGACUCUCUGGUCUGUAACUGACGCUGAGGCUCGAAAGCGUGGGGAGCAAACAGGAUUA